GCCUCCCUCGCCCUGGACCCCCAGCCCAGCCGGACGGGGAUGCAAGCUGUGCCCGCACCCAUGGGGGCUGCUGAGUGGACAGAGGAUGUGGUGGGCGACCGGGGUACCCCCCGGAGCCGUGGGGAAGACAUGACAGGAAGCCUUCCCAGAGCCCCAGUCCCAAUCAGCUUCCUCACCAGACACUCCGCCCGGAGGCCCUUGUCCCCUUUUCAGCACAUUCCUGCGCGUGAUCACACAUGAAUCUGGAGAGGUGGCUGACGACUCGCCCACUCUUAAAGCAUCUCUUCUGUGAUCCGAAACGUUGGGGGGACGUUACCAGCGAGCAGGACGAUCUUCCAGACCACCCAUUUCGGAGCGGCGAGCCAGCCUGGCCAAGGG
Bubalus bubalis (water buffalo) is the source of this 378-nucleotide long non-coding RNA. RefSeq lists it as uncharacterized. Lineage: Eukaryota; Metazoa; Chordata; Mammalia; Artiodactyla; Bovidae. The transcript has 3 exons. The record is from RefSeq and is a predicted model, not a curated record.